GGUACUGAGACACGGACCAGACUCCUACGGGAGGCAGCAGUGAGGAAUAUUGGUCAAUGGGCGAAAGCCUGAACCAGCCAUCCCGCGUGCAGGAAGACGGCCCUAUGGGUUGUAAACUGCUUUUCCAGGAGGAGAAACUCUCGUACGUGAUACGGGAUUGACGGUACCCUGGGAAUAAGCAUCGGCUAACUCCGUGCCAGCAGCCGCGGUAAUACGGAGGAUGCAAGCGUUAUCCGGAUUCAUUGGGUUUAAAGGGUGCGUAGGCGGACUAUUAAGUCAGUGGUGAAAUCCUGCAGCUUAACUGCAGAACUGCCAUUGAUACUGAUAGUCUUGAGUUUGGUUAAGGUAGGCGGAAUGUGUAAUGUAGCGGUGAAAUGCUUAGAUAUUACACAGAACACCGAUUGCGUAGGCAGCUUACUGAGCCGACACUGACGCUGAGGCACGAAAGCGUGGGGAUCGAACAGGAUUAGAUACCCUGGUAGUCCACGCCGUAAACGAUGAUUACUCGCUGUUGGCGAUACACUGUCAGCGGCUAAGCAAAAGCAAUAAGUAAUCCACCUGGGGAGUACGGCCGCAAGGCUGAAACUCAAAGGAAUUGACGG
RNAcentral lists this ribosomal RNA (602 nucleotides) under uncultured Bacteroidota bacterium. RNAcentral describes it as "bacterial SSU rRNA". It matches the Rfam family "Bacterial small subunit ribosomal RNA", at positions 315 to 916 of the family's 1533-position model. Lineage: Bacteria; Pseudomonadati; Bacteroidota. The record is from RNAcentral.